AUUGAACGCUGGCGGCAGGCCUAACACAUGCAAGUCGAGCGGAUGAAGGGAGCUUGCUCCUGGAUUCAGCGGCGGACGGGUGAGUAAUGCCUAGGAAUCUGCCUGGUAGUGGGGGAUAACGUCCGGAAACGGGCGCUAAUACCGCAUACGUCCUGAGGGAGAAAGUGGGGGAUCUUCGGACCUCACGCUAUCAGAUGAGCCUAGGUCGGAUUAGCUAGUUGGUGGGGUAAAGGCCUACCAAGGCGACGAUCCGUAACUGGUCUGAGAGGAUGAUCAGUCACACUGGAACUGAGACACGGUCCAGACUCCUACGGGAGGCAGCAGUGGGGAAUAUUGGACAAUGGGCGAAAGCCUGAUCCAGCCAUGCCGCGUGUGUGAAGAAGGUCUUCGGAUUGUAAAGCACUUUAAGUUGGGAGGAAGGGCAGUAAGUUAAUACCCUGCUGUUUUGACGUUACCAACAGAAUAAGCACCGGCUAACUUCGCG
RNAcentral lists this ribosomal RNA (484 nucleotides) under uncultured bacterium. RNAcentral describes it as "partial 16S ribosomal RNA". It matches the Rfam family "Bacterial small subunit ribosomal RNA", at positions 30 to 507 of the family's 1533-position model. The record is from RNAcentral.